UGCAUGCGCCCAAAAUUAGACUAUUAAUUGUGAUGUCUAAUAUUAUAUAGAUGAUUAUUUAGAAAAUUAUAUAUGCUGUAAGUUAGUUAAAUAAGUAAACAGGCUAAUUUAGGUCUAUAUGUUAAAUUUUUUUAUUUCAAAUUUAGCAGUUUUUUUUUUUAAUUUUAAAGAAAUAUACCGUUUUUUGAAAGAGAAAGGAUAAGCACGCCCACUUUCCUCCAACGGUUAAAUUCCAACGGCUUUUUGAACAUUGACAGACAACGGUAAAAGAUUUAAAAAAAGGCUCAAUGGUUAUUUUUUUCACUCAAAUCGAAUCCUCUCAAUUCAUUCUAAUUUCUCAACUCUCUUAGUUCUCUCAAUUUUCUUAAGUUCUGAUCUAAAAUUUUCGAUAUGCUUGUUUAACAAUAUUAUUUUUUUGAUUAUUUGUAUUUUAUUCAUUUAGAUUAAGUUUUCACGAAUUGCAACCUCUCUAAUUUGUUUUGACGACAAACAUAUUUCUGUCGCUUAAGCGAUUAUGAUAAGGCGAAAUUUUAAAUUUCGUUAUUUUCAAUUAAGUUAAAUUUAAAUUUUUUAUUUUUAAAAAUAUUUUAAAUGAAUUUUUUUUGUCGAUAUAAAUGGGCGGAUGAUCGUGUUUUGGAGGAGUUCAUGCACAAUUUUCAAAGGGUCCAAUCACCAAAAUUCGUGGUUACUUGCAAGACGUGGAUUCUUGCAUGUCUCGUAUGCUUGGGGACUGUAAACUCAAUCAUACACUCAUCAGUUCGUUGAUCAUACACUCAUCAGUUCGUUGGUGGAAAGAUAGAGGCUUGAGACACCCACUUUUCAUCUUUCAUGCGGCGAGUGUAUCACAUUCGAAGACAUAGCUUUACACAUUGAUGGGCCAAUCAUCACAGGGUUAACGGUCGUUCCUGAUAAAAAGGACCUUUAUGUGACAUUUUUGGGGAAGGUCCCAAACAAGUUUCAAGGUGGCCGGAUAGCAAUGAAGUGGUUCAAAAUCAAUUUUAGAGAGCUUUCUCAGGACGCGAACGACAUUGUCAAAGAACAAUAUGCCCGAGCAUUUAUCAUGAGAUUAAUUGGUGGCAUUUUAAUGCAUGAUAGAUCUCGAAAUUUGGUGCACGUAAAGUGGCUUCUACACCUAGUCGACUUCAAAUAAUGCAGACGACUGAAUUGGGGAUUAGUCGUGUAGGCCACAUUGUACAGGGAGCUAUGUUGGGCGACGAAACCAGAUAAGAUGUCAAUCGGUGGUUGCCUGCUUCUGCUGCAGUCGUGGGCCUGAUGGCGAUUACCAUUUUUAUGUCCCCGAGUGAACGACUCAUACAUGGUCUCAUUGGUGACAAGUGGAACCAUGGGCCGAGUUAAGUGCGACUACCCGACCAGCCAGCUCGAAGAUAUCAAACUGUUGUUAAAUCAACGCUCGGAAGCCGAGAGUAUGUAGGACGCAAAGAUGCCGUUGAUAAUGUACGCAAUGAUAGAAAUGCACAAAUCGAAUCGAGUGAUGCAACAGUUUAGGUGGAGGCAACAAAUUCUGUUGCCAACGUGAAACAUUGAUGAAUUGCACGAAGUGGACUAGUAGGGGAGGAAUGUCAAGAAUUGACGAAAUAUUCACAAAUAAUACAUCAACGCUUGAGAUCGUAAGAUGGAAAUCUUACCUAUUCGUGAACCAUUUUUCUUAGCGGGCAUGAUGGACUGUUUGGAGUACAUGUCGUGGUUCAGACUCGCGAAAAAGCCAUAUUUGCUAUUUGUUGAGGCGAGGAGUAGACAACUUCGUCAAAAGAGGAAACAACGACCGUCCUAGCAGUGUAGGUUCAGACGCGGUCGCACGUCGAGUUCAUCAUCAGCUCCAACUGAACAAGUGUUACCUAUGCCUACGCCACAUCUCGAUUAAUUCACUUCACUUAUUCCUGUUUAUUUCACUAACCCCAUGUUUUUUUCACAAUCACCACACUACGCACAGUCGUAUAUUUUGGGGCACCGACAUUCCCCGCAUUUUACACCAUCAUGACGAUGUCGAUGAUGGCACAAAUACUGAGUCAGAUACCGACGCAUGUCCCAUCACCAAUAACGAUGUCGAUGUCGACAUCAAUCUAGUUAUCGAUGCCAGUGACGAUGUCUAAGUCAAUACCGAUAUAUUCAUGUUUUGCGACACCUUAUGGUUACACGUUGGUAGUGUCACAAAUACCCACUGCUUCAUUAUUUUAUCAGGAUGUGUCAUUGGCGACACAAUAUUCUCGUAAAGUGGAAGACAUAAGAUGAGAGGCUAGGACGACAUCGCACUCGAGUAUGAAGUAAAUGUGAUGAAGACGAAGACAAAAUUGAGGGUGGAGAUGAAGAUGGAGACGAUAGUGGAGAUCAAGAUGAAGACGACGGUGGAGAUCAAGAUGAAGAUGAUGGUGGGGAUGAAGAUGAGUACAUGGAUGGAGGUGAAGAUGAAGAUGAAGAAGAUGAUGGUCAUGAUCCAGUGUAGAAGCUUGCACCACUAGUUGUGCGUAGAAAUAUUACGCGUAUCCGUUAACCACCUUUGUGAAGUACACAUUUGGCCCGACGAUGUCGAUGUAUUUUUUAUUUACUUAUUGUGAUGUAAAUAUUAAUGACAUCAAUAAAGAAACAAAAUAUUUUUGGUA
Long non-coding RNA from Gossypium raimondii (Peruvian cotton), 2618 nucleotides. RefSeq lists it as uncharacterized. The transcript has 3 exons. The record is from RefSeq and is a predicted model, not a curated record. NCBI's taxonomy places the organism in Eukaryota, Viridiplantae, Streptophyta, Magnoliopsida, Malvales, Malvaceae.